AAAAGGUAUUUAUAAUGAAGGAGAAAAACUCUUUAAUUCUUAUGCUUGAAAAAUAGCACAAAGUGGGUUGGCAUGUGUCAUUUCCUGAGAUGAGAGAUCGAAACAAUCUGAUACACUUAGCCACGCCACCCUACGGAGGCGCAACCGUGAUGAUGGAAGUUAUGGGUUAGUGGGAAAUCCAUGUUUUCGAGGUGACUAAAGAUGUAAAGGUCAUGAUGCCCAUGACGUCAGCCCACUGGCCGAAUAGUGUUUAAGAAAGUAAAAAACGCCCUUAUCUC
RNAcentral lists this long non-coding RNA (278 nucleotides) under Lathyrus oleraceus (garden pea). RNAcentral describes it as "Pisum sativum (pea) long non-coding RNA (PSAT_LNC001400)". Lineage: Eukaryota; Viridiplantae; Streptophyta; Magnoliopsida; Fabales; Fabaceae. The record is from RNAcentral.